AGACAGCUCGUUGCCUCAUUUACAAAAAGGCUACCCGGGCCAGCGGCUAAAGUACUACUUUCUCCAUCCCAGCUGCUUCACUUCCUCCUCCUGCACUGCUCCAUCCCCCAUAACCACUGUUGAGGAAGAACUAGAUCUGGCGUCCGAGUGUUGAGACGACGACGAGAUCAUCUGCGCCCCUGCAGAUAGUGCUCAAGGGCAUUGAGCAUGGAACCGCCGGAUCGUCCAUGCAAGAGGAAUCUCCCAUGUGGGGAAGGUGAUGGCGAUGGAAAGAAGAAAAAGCCAAGAUCCGUCGGACCUAGCGAAGGAUCCAUCGAUGGAGCGCGUGCUGGAGGCGAGGGCACUUCUGCAGCCACCCCCAAUGCCUCAAAACAAAUCUUGCAGGGAGGAGCUGUUGCCGUUUGAGAGUCGCCCAACGAUGCUACAAGGAAAAGGAGGGGAGAGCUGGUCAAUGACAACAACCAAAGGUCAUCGAGACGGCGUGUAUCUCGGCGUACACUUGUGUUGGUUCAUGGGUAUCCACACCAUGCCGGUCAAGUAAUACCAUUUGUGCCGCCGGGCCUGCUAGCCGAAUCGACAGUACUUCAUGGUAGAGUUGUAAGGUGUACUUGGAGCUGUCAGCAUGUCCUCCGACUAGGGUUGACUCGCUACCCAAUAGUGCAUAGAACCGGCAUGGCCAGCUUGUUGACUGCUGCAUGGACGGGGGAGGCCGAUAGAAGGUUCUAUGCAUGGCUGCUUAGUAGAUUUAGGUGGCAAGACAUGAGAUUCACUUUCCCUGAUGGCCAGCAUAGAUAUUUCACUCCAAGAUCCAUUGUUAGAACAUUGGGUCUGAGUAACAGUGGCCGCCAAGUCAGUAUGAUAAAGUUGCCUCCAAAACGUAGGCAAAAUUUGGCACUCCAUAUUAGAACAAUCCUAGGAAUAGAGACUAAGAAGCAUGCCAGGGAUGGGGGUUUGACAAUUCGAGCCGUAAGCAACGCUAUCAACAGAAUGAUCGCUUUAGGAGAUCUCUGUUAUAGAGAAAGAGCUUUUGAGAUGGCUUUCUCACUGUUAGCGGCUGGUACAUGUGUUGGUCCUAAGCAGUCGUACACGUCGAUACCUUAGGAGAUGUUUGCUUGUGUGCUCUGCGCUGAGGGGACUGGUGAGUAUGAUCUAGCAGAAUGGACAUUUGAGAUCAUCAGAGCAGCUGCGAAGAAACUACAAAAAGAUUUGGCGGCCGGUGUGAGAACUCUGAUUGUUGGCGGCAGCCAUUUGGCACUCAUUCCAUGGUUCUUCGACUAGAUGAACUUCGGUGCAGAUAACGUGGAGCCGCACACCGUCCCCCGCAUAAGCGUUUACACCGGGGAGAUAUACAUGAGGCUGAUAUAUCUCACAAGGGAAUACCCCUCUGUUUUUAAUACCAAGUCUUAUGAUGAGUUCAACCCGCUAGAUGAUGUGUGGCACGGGGUGGUGGGCGAGCCUAGUGGGAUCCUGCGACAUCCAGAUCAACUGGAAGCGCCACGGGUAGUUUAGGAUAUCAUUGCAGCAAACCAACAGGCUGCCAUGGACUGUUCCAUAGAUGUAGGCGAUGAGGAUCCCAGGGUUGAAUGCGAGGACGAUGAGAAGCAUAGGGAACGCACAACUGCUAAAGGUAAAUGGGCCGCAGAAGAGAGUUCAGAAAGCUCAAGCAGCGACAGUGAUGAGGAACCAAUUGACCCUAGUGUGCGACUAGGCAGAAGGUUGGAACGAGCUGACAUAAGAGGAGAAAACAUUGAUCCACCAAAUCCCAAUGCCAGCUUAAGAAUCAGCAAUGAUGUCUGGAAUGCCCGUGUUACACGCAAUUAUUGACAAACAAAAUUGCAUUAACCAUUAUCAAAACCGAGAAGAAAUUGUGAUAUGGAGCUUCAACAUGAUGCUGUUGCCAUGCAGGGCCGCGCAGAAUGAACCGGAUGCGGGCAUGUCUGCAGCCUAGAAUUGGUGAUCAAGACGCUGGGGGGAGUGCAGCAAGGGGAACUGCUAGAGAUCCAUCUAUGCUACGUAGCAGGGGAGAGAGCCUGAGAGCAGAGCUGACAAAACUUGAGGCCCAGGGAAAAGCAGACCUAGAAUAUGCGCAAAUCCAUGGAACUUUCCCAGAUAGGGAAGGAACUUGUAAAGAUGAUGCAGUGAUUGUUGACGAG
Triticum aestivum (bread wheat) is the source of this 2153-nucleotide long non-coding RNA. RefSeq lists it as uncharacterized. Lineage: Eukaryota; Viridiplantae; Streptophyta; Magnoliopsida; Poales; Poaceae. The record is from RefSeq and is a predicted model, not a curated record. The transcript is spliced from 8 exons.